RNAcentral lists this ribosomal RNA (486 nucleotides) under uncultured bacterium. RNAcentral describes it as "partial 16S ribosomal RNA". It matches the Rfam family "Bacterial small subunit ribosomal RNA", at positions 30 to 507 of the family's 1533-position model. The record is from RNAcentral.
AUUGAACGCUGGCGGCAUGCCUUACACAUGCAAGUCGAACGGCAGCACGGGUGCUUGCACCUGGUGGCGAGUGGCGAACGGGUGAGUAAUACAUCGGAACAUGUCCUGUAGUGGGGGAUAGCCCGGCGAAAGCCGGAUUAAUACCGCAUACGAUCUACGGAUGAAAGCGGGGGACCUUCGGGCCUCGCGCUAUAGGGUUGGCCGAUGGCUGAUUAGCUAGUUGGUGGGGUCAAGGCCUACCAAGGCGACGAUCAGUAGCUGGUCUGAGAGGACGACCAGCCACACUGGGACUGAGACACGGCCCAGACUCCUACGGGAGGCAGCAGUGGGGAAUUUUGGACGAUGGGCGAAAGCCUGAUCCAGCAAUGCCGCGUGUGUGAAGAAGGCCUUCGGGUUGUAAAGCACUUUUGUCCGGAAAGAAAUCCUUGGCUCUAAUACAGUCGGGGGAUGACGGUACCGGAAGAAUAAGCACCGGCUAACUACGUG